GAAGGGGUAUUCAGGACUGUUCACGUUAUAGGCCUAUCAAUUGUUUAUAUAUUAGAUAGGACUAUUAUACUGUAAAAUUUAUCGAUUUUUGCACGCGCACAUAUACGCAUACAUCUCCACAAUGCGUUGAUGCAAAUGCAUAUAGAUAUUGUAUAUAAUACAUAUUCAUUAAUUUAAAAAUAUAACAAUGUUUAUAUAUCAACAAUACUUACAACCACCAAGUUUUAAACAUGUAUUGAUACAGACCCGUGGUUAAAUGAUUAGUAAACGUUGCCAAGACAAAUCUACAAAAGAAAUUGUAUAGCCGCUGCUGAAUAAAACAGGAUUAUAAAUAAUAUACGUUAUUGAAUUCAAAAA
This 357-nucleotide long non-coding RNA is filed under the name Polistes fuscatus (common paper wasp). RNAcentral's name for it is "uncharacterized LOC122518026". Lineage: Eukaryota; Metazoa; Arthropoda; Insecta; Hymenoptera; Vespidae. The record is from RNAcentral.